GCCGUAUCUUUUAUAGAUCGUGUAGCACAGCGCUGGAUGAAGUCCACACACAUGGAUUAAUUGAUGGACCUUGGGUUUAUGGAGCUACCUUUUCAUGACCUGCUUUUCCUACAGUUUCUAAGAAGAAAAGGGGGCCUCUGAAUCAAAGAAGAUGCCUCGAACUAAACAGAUUCAUCCCAGAAAUCUAAGAGACAAAAUUGAAGAAGCACAAAAAGAACUAAAUGGGGCAGAAGUGUCAAAAAAAGGUAAGUUAAAAUCAACCCCAGUAUAGGCUUUAUUCUUGCAGAGAUUCCUGUAUAAA
RNAcentral lists this long non-coding RNA (301 nucleotides) under Bos mutus (wild yak). Its description in RNAcentral is "lncRNA (ENSBMUG00000002674.1)". The record is from RNAcentral. Lineage: Eukaryota; Metazoa; Chordata; Mammalia; Artiodactyla; Bovidae.